CUGUGGAAAUGCUAGAGCUAAUACAUGACAUGAUGCUUUGAUCGUUUUUGUUCAGAGCACAUUUAUCGGAGACAAAUGUAGGGUGCUCGGCUUUGCCGUGAUAACCCAAAUAUACUAUUGAAAGGGAGUAACUAAUCGAUCGCACGGUCUUAGAACCGGCGACAAAUCUUUGAAAUGACUUGCUCAUCAACUGUCGAUGGUAGGUUACGUGCUUACCAUGGUGACAACGGUUAACGGAGAAUCAGGGUUCGACUCCGGAGAAGGAGCCUGAGAGACGGCUACUACUUCCAAGGAAGGCAGCAGGCACGCAAAUUACCCACUCCCAGCUAAGGGGAGGUAGUGACGAUAAAUAACGGAACGUAUCUCGAUGAGACGCGUUACCGGAACGAUUGAGCCGUAUAUAAGCUCGACAAAGGCUAUUGGAGGGCAAGUCUGGUGCCAGCAGCCGCGGUAAUUCCAGCUCCAAUAGCGUAUAUUAAAGUUGCUGCGGUUGAACCGCUCGUAGUUGGAUUGCGAUUUUGGGCCACGGUCCUCCUCCGGUAACGGAGUUGGUAUGAUUGGCUUUGCCACCGUUGGUCGUCAUAAUCGGUUGAUUGUCAUGAUUGUUCGCGAUGCUCUUUGCUGAGUGUCACGGAUGACAUGAACGUUUACUUUGAGAAAAUAAGAGCGCUCAAAGCAGGCUGCUCACACGAAAGCUUGAACGGAAUUUCAUGGGAUAGUGAAAGAUGAUCUCGCUGGUAUUCAAACGAGCCACGAGGUAAUGAUUAAAAGAGACAGACGGUGGCAUUCGUACUGCUACGUUAGAGGUGAAAUUCUUGGAUCGUAGCAAGACGAACAAUUGCGAAAGCAUUUGCCAAGAAUGUUUUCAUUAAUCAAGAACGAAAGUUGGAGGAUCG
This 896-nucleotide ribosomal RNA is filed under the name Capillaria sp. SIPO5nem1. RNAcentral describes it as "SSU rRNA". It matches the Rfam family "Eukaryotic small subunit ribosomal RNA", at positions 147 to 1000 of the family's 1831-position model. The record is from RNAcentral. Lineage: Eukaryota; Metazoa; Nematoda; Enoplea; Trichinellida; Capillariidae.